CAAAGCCCUCUGUUUCUACGUUAACUCUUCAUCUGCCAGGCGCAGGAACGGUCACUGCGCAGGAUCAAGCUACAAUGAAGAGGAGGGAGGCAGUCUGCGCGCACCGCCAUUUUCUAGGAACUGGGAAGCCCCCCCACCCCUUAGGAAGAUCCAUCCCUGUGGAACCUUGCCCAGGCUUACCAGCCUUUGCUGAGGUUGAUCUAUUGUCCCUCCUUGUCCCCAUCAAAAUAUCCAGCACUCCACCUUCAGGGAGUAGACUUGACCCUCAAAUAGCAAGUUCAGCCUUCCCAGGUCUAGGUUCCCUGGGAGGUCAAGAUUCGUCUGGUUCCUUAGUACAGAGGGCUAGCUGUGAGUUGGAAUCCCCCUAUGAGCUUUAGAAUCAGUCAAGAGGAAUUGGGCCCCUUCCCUUCAUCCCUCUUCUUUUCCCUUUUUGUCCCAGAGCUCAGCUCUGACUCAAAAGUUUUUCCAUUUACCAUCAACAUGGAAACUUGGCUCCUCACGUAGGUAUAUUAUCCCCCUUUUGUACAUGGUCUUGUUGAUCCAAACUCCCUUUCUGUGAAAGAGGCCUGUGGGGCUCAAGAAGCCUGGUCAGCCAGCCAGGCUAGUCCCACAUACCUCAGAACCAGUUUAAUAAAGGCUCUAUGUCAUUCUUUUUUGCUUGGGCUGAUUGGUGUGCUGAUUCAGAAGACCUUGAUAUUUUAUUCUUUCCCCCAAACCAGCUCAAUUGGUGUUUGUGCUAGAGGGAGAUGGACCAUGGGGAGGGCUGUUAUAAGGGAUAUCCUUGGCCCUCCCACUUCCCCCUUUGAAGGAUGCCCUUGUUAUCUUAGGCAGGGACCUGAUACCGGUUGGUUCAGUAGAUAUCUGGCAGUUUACUCUGAGCAUUUACCUUAUAUUAGGGCAAGAACUAAAGGAACAAAUAUAUCCACCUCAAUGUCAGGUCAAAUGGGAGGAUGUGGAUGGGAGUAAAGAGUGAUUAGUAUUGAGGUCGUGGAAUUUUAUUGGUUACUAUUUUUAUAACUUUGGUCUUCGAGUCCUUGAAUGAAGGUAAACGGAGACUUAUUAGGGAACAAAUUACUAGUGGCAGGGUGGUGGUGUCCUGGUGUCCUGCUUAGAAUGUGAAGAGAGUGCCCCAUCAUUGGCCUAUGCUGUGCAUCUGGGAGGUGGUAGGCCACAGUCCUGAACUGCACAACUGGUAGUGAAAUUCAGAGCAGAAUGCAACAUUUAUUUAAUGGGGCCUCACAGUUGGCCAGUGUCCCUGUGGCCUUUCCCCUUCUUCCUUCCACUCUGUGUCAUGGAGACCCGACUUGAUUUGGCAAGAGAACAACGUACACCUAAGAUUUCCCGAAUAUUUCCCAGCAAGGACCCUGGCUGGCUAUGUUUCUACUUCAGUGGUGACCACAGCAGAUACUGGCAGUUUUCUGUUAUGGCUCUGGGGUCUUUUAAGGAGCAGGAACGUGGAAUAUGUACAAACCUGGAGCCACAGUCAAGUACUAAGCUCCUUGAAGCACAAGGCAUGAGAAUAUCAUGUUUUCUUUUCCUUAGAGGAUUUAUGAAUUAAAACUAAGGAAUAAUUUGUAAUCAGAAUAACACCACCUGGCAGGGAUGUUGAUGAGCUGAGGAAGGCUUAUUUGGAGAUUUCUGGUAUUUUCCAGCUCUGAGACUCCAGACCUAAUAUCCAUGUAAUGGCCAUUAAUGUCUUGUAAUUUAUAACAGUUUUAUCAGUGAUCCAUUACAUUAAUCAUCAUGAGUUGGUGACUUAUCAAGUCCUACAGGUUAUUUGUUAUUUGUAUAACUAUAUAGAGCUAUUUAAUUUACAAACACAAUACUCUUUUGAGGUAGAUACCAGAACCAUUUUACAUUUGAGGAUAUUGAAGCUAGGAAAAAGACUCAGCUCUUGAAGGAAUGGACAUGGGGUGCCCUUGCCUUCCUUGGGGAGAGAGCCACCUAAUCUGUGCAGCUGUAGUUAGGGCCUGCCACCUUAUUCCUCCUCUCCAUCCAGCCCCUACAUUUUGGAAACAAAAAGGCAGCAGUGAUCUGGGAAUUAUUUAAUGCUUAGUUUGACAGGACAAAUUUUAAGGACCUUAAGAGCAACCUUUUAUUUCUUACCAUAUGAGGCACUGGGACAGGCACAGAGAAGUCAAUAUUAUUUGCCCAGUGCAUUUCUUCAUGGCUUCUGCUUUUUAAUCUUAGGCUCACUUUUUUAACCUCAUUGCUCACAUGUUAUGAUUCCUUCCAGAAAGUUCACUGAAAUUCUAAUGUCCCUUGCUGUUCCUUAGGUAACUUAGGAGUAACUUUCCAGCUCUUCCCCUAACUAGUUGUGUGACGUGCAGCAGGCUGCUUAACUUCUGUGUGUCUCAGUUUUCUCAACUGUAAAAUGAAUGAUCCAACCCCUGUGUCAGAAGGAUGGGUGAGGCUCAUGAGGAAUAACACAUAAGAAAUAUGGGAUGCUUACCACAGUGUUUGGUAAAUAACAUGAGUUUCCUCUUCCCUCUUUGAACAGUCCUUUGUAUUCUGCUGAGAGCUUUCCUGUUCAUGCUGCCUCACAACCAAAAGGGGAAAGAAUCCUGAGUCCUGUGCUCAUGAUUUCUCCCUUUGCUAGCUGGUUCAAGGCCAAUCCAGAUACCAUGGUAUUUUCUGAAAGAGUCCCAC
This 2649-nucleotide long non-coding RNA is filed under the name Homo sapiens (human). RNAcentral describes it as "HSALNT0105920". The record is from RNAcentral. Lineage: Eukaryota; Metazoa; Chordata; Mammalia; Primates; Hominidae.